This 497-nucleotide ribosomal RNA is filed under the name uncultured bacterium. RNAcentral describes it as "partial 16S ribosomal RNA". It matches the Rfam family "Bacterial small subunit ribosomal RNA", at positions 28 to 507 of the family's 1533-position model. The record is from RNAcentral.
GAUGAACGCUGGCGGCGUGCCUAAUACAUGCAAGUCGAGCGAACAGACGAGGAGCUUGCUCCUCUGACGUUAGCGGCGGACGGGUGAGUAACACGUGGAUAACCUACCUAUAAGACUGGGAUAACUUCGGGAAACCGGAGCUAAUACCGGAUAAUAUAUUUAACCGCAUGGUUCAAUAGUGAAAGACGGUUUUGCUGUCACUUAUAGAUGGAUCCGCGCCGCAUUAGCUAGUUGGUAAGGUAACGGCUUACCAAGGCAACGAUGCGUAGCCGACCUGAGAGGGUGAUCGGCCACACUGGAACUGAGACACGGUCCAGACUCCUACGGGAGGCAGCAGUAGGGAAUCUUCCGCAAAGGGCGAAAGCCUGACGGAGCAACGCCGCGUGAGUGAUGAAGGUCUUCGGAUCGUAAAACUGUGUUAUUAGGGAAGAACAAAUGUGUAAGUAACUAUGCACGUCUUGACGGUACCUAAUCAGAAAGCCACGGCUAACUACGUG